This is a long non-coding RNA of Mauremys reevesii (Reeves's turtle), 453 nucleotides long. RefSeq lists it as uncharacterized. The record is from RefSeq and is a predicted model, not a curated record. Lineage: Eukaryota; Metazoa; Chordata; Testudines; Geoemydidae. The transcript is spliced from 3 exons.
UUUAUAGUUAAAGGAACAGAAAAGUGAUGAAGGAAAGGAAGCAGCCUGUUGUGAUCAUCAUCAAUACAUGCAGCUUUAACGACACAAAGAGAGACAAUCCUUAGCCCUGAAGCACUUUUUAUAAAUGAAUCAGGGGUUGUUUUAGAGGCAAUGUGUUAACUAUUUAUUCUGCUCUCUGGAAGCAAACCAUUUUGCAUUUUGGAUUCCUCAGUGACUACAGGAGUUGGCCACAGGAAAAAAAAUCAGCUGGAGGCAGUCUGUCUUAUGGCACUCCCCUCCUGGCUCUGGGCAUCAGAGCUUUGCCAGCUUGAUCCCCUGGCCAGAACGGCCUUGAAUGCUGUUUCAUGUUAUGCUGGAGACCAGGCCAGUGUGCAGAAGGCCCAGGAUUGGAAGAGCACAAAGGUCUAGAGUCACAAAUUUGAAGGCCAGAAAGGACCAUUGUGUAGUCUGAAC